GCCCCACCCACCUAGAGGAGCCUGUUCUAUAAUCGAUAACCCCCGCUUAACCUCACCACUUCUUGCCAAUACCGCCUAUAUACCACCGUCGCCAGCCCACCCCGUGAGGGAAAUAGUAGGCACAAUGAUAAGUCACCAAAACGUCAGGUCAAGGUGUAGCGUAUGAAGUGGAAAGAAAUGGGCUACAUUCUCUAACCUAGAGCACACGAAAAAUCAUAUGAAAUUAGAUUAGAAGGAGGAUUUAGUAGUAAAAAGAAACAAUAGUGUUCUUUUUAAGUUGGCCCUGGGGCGCGCACACACCGCCCGUCACCCUCUUCAACUAAUAAAACACGAUUUAUAAAACACAAAACAAAUACAAGAAGAGGUAAGUCGUAACAUGGUAAGUAUACCGGAAGGUGUGCUUGGAAUUAC
RNAcentral lists this ribosomal RNA (411 nucleotides) under Bombina orientalis. RNAcentral's name for it is "partial 12S ribosomal RNA". It matches the Rfam family "Bacterial small subunit ribosomal RNA", at positions 918 to 1533 of the family's 1533-position model. Lineage: Eukaryota; Metazoa; Chordata; Amphibia; Anura; Bombinatoridae. The record is from RNAcentral.